Dermacentor silvarum is the source of this 298-nucleotide long non-coding RNA. RefSeq lists it as uncharacterized. Lineage: Eukaryota; Metazoa; Arthropoda; Arachnida; Ixodida; Ixodidae. The record is from RefSeq and is a predicted model, not a curated record. The transcript is spliced from 3 exons.
ACCAGAGGAUUUUCCGUGUGUGUGCGUGUGCCUGGUUCACACAGUGCAUCAUAUUCUAAAGCAAGCAUGGCCACAUUGAGUCAAGCAAGCGUCAUCUUCUUUUUAAUGUGUUGCGAAUGGCACGUUGUUCAAGCAUGCAAGCACAACGAGCACCGCGUCUCAUGCAAGAGAGGUGAGAGCAUCCCCGGAGACUUGUGUCCAGGGGUUCAGCGGUGGCCAUGCAACAGAGUGAAGAUAAGGUGUGCGUGUGUGAAAGGAUCAUUCCAGAGGUGGGACGGCCGCUGCGUGCCCUACAGAG